Daktulosphaira vitifoliae (grape phylloxera) is the source of this 2115-nucleotide RNA transcript. RefSeq lists it as uncharacterized. Lineage: Eukaryota; Metazoa; Arthropoda; Insecta; Hemiptera; Phylloxeridae. The transcript is spliced from 12 exons. The record is from RefSeq and is a predicted model, not a curated record.
AAUAUAUCAUGUGUAAAAUAUUUACAUGGUUAACUUAGCCCAUUACAUACUCUUUUUAAUUCAUUAUUAUCACUGAUUUGUCCAAAAUUGUAAUAGUUCUUCCACUAAAAUAUUUAAAAGUAUGAUUGGAUUUCAUAGUUUCUCGUAAUCAUAACAGCUCUUUCACAGAUUUAGCUAAUAUUAGUCAGAAUAUAAAUAGUUAUGGAUUUAGAAGAAGUUCCUGUUCUUCGUCCUAGAAUGCCACCCCCUCAUUUGAUGAGAUCCAGGUUACCCGGUUUUCCUCCAAGACCAGUAAUGAUGAGAGGUUUACCACCAGGUUUUUUACCUAGGCCAUUUCGCCACCCUACACGUAUGAUGAGACAUCCAAUGAUGCCUAUAAUAGGUUCUAGAGGUAUGAUGCCUAGGAUAGCACCAAUGAGAAAUAUGCUAUUGCCUCCUCAUGUAUUACGUAGUAUACCACUACAUUUAAGACCAAGAUCUAUACCACCAGGGAUGAAAUUAAUAUCUUCUGAAGGUAAAAAUCAUGGCCCUCAUAAUGUUUCAAAUACAGAAAUUACAAUUGAUCGCAAUGGCACCAAUGAGUAUGAAAUAAAAGUGCAAUCAUCUGAAAAUUCAAAAAGUUCACAGCAAAAAUCAUCUCCUCCAUCAUUGUUAUCACAAACUUUCCCGAAGCCUCUUCUUCAAUCAAAUAAGGCUCGCAUUAUGAAGAAUAAUAGAGGUACCUCAAAUAAUAAUCAAUUAAAUGAUAUUGACCAAAUUACAACCAGUACCAGACAAUCUGGUAACACUAAUAUUAAACAAAAUAUGUCAAACAAAAGACCAUCAUUUCAACAGCAAGUUACCAAAAAGAUAAAAUCAAUGGAUAACAAUAGUUUUUAUCAACAAAAAGUUCGAAAUCAACCUAAUAGGCCAGUUAUGCGCAAUGAUCAAAAUUCAUUUAAUCGGCAAGAACAACCUAACCACAUUACACUUCAACAGGGACAACUUCAAUAUCAUAACCAAUCUCAAGCUUAUGAACAAUCACAGCAGGUAUAUACUCAAGGACAACAAUACAAUCAACAACAAAUGCAACCACAAGUUCCAUAUGAUCAGACACCACAGCAGUACAAUCAAACAUAUCAAAAUUAUGAUUCACAACAGCAACAACAAAUUUAUUGUCCACCUACCCAGCAGCAGUAUAGUAAUGCUCCACUACCACAAACCUAUCAACAGCAACCACAACAACCUAAUUCUUCAUACAACGUGGAGUACAAUAAGUGUAAUAAUCUACAAAAUUAUAAUCAAGUGGCAGUACAAUCUGCUCCACAACAAGUACAAAAUCAAUAUGAUUUCUCCCAAGCACAGCCUUAUAAUCAAACUACUCCUGGCUAUCAAAACCAAGUAAAUUAUGGAGAGACGUAUGGACAAUAUAACCAACAACAAAGUAAUUAUAAUUCAUAUCCAAGUCAACAAGCACAAUAUGAUGUAAGUUAUUCACAAAACACUAAUAAUCAGUCUGAUUCUUAUGGGGCUAACAAUACUUAUUCCAAACCAGAACAAAAUAAUUAUAGUGCAUAUAAUUAUGGAGCUUCACAGCCCUCAACGCAGUAUCAAAGUAAUACCAACAAUGUUUAUCAAACAGAUGCUAGCAGUUAUAAUCAAUCAAGUGCUGCCAUUUAUCCUAAAACUGAUACAGCUUACAAUUAUGGUAUAACAUACUAAUGACUAAAAUAUCAAAAUGAAUUUUAUUCUGGUAUCAGUGCAUCUCGUGUUCUUAUAAAUAACACAAAGAUGUGUUCUAGUUGAAGAAAUGGUUAAUGUAUGACUAUGAAGAUUUAAAAUGUUAAAAGUUGAAGAUCUUUGAUAUUACACUAUCGUAAAUUAUGAUAAAUGAAUGGCCAUUUAGAAUAAAAUUUCAUGGAGUUUUGGUAAAUAUUUUUAGAAUAUUGUGAUUUCAUUAUAUGAAUAAUUUUUCAUCCAUACAAUCAUGCAUUUGAAUGGUUUUUUGAUAGCCAAUAAAAAGCUCAAAUAUAUAUAUGUAUAAUCGAGUAUUAAUAUUUCUUAAUAGUAAUUAACAUUGCUAAUGAAAAAUCAGUUUUCAGUAUAAUUUUUUAAUUCAUUUUAACUUUGUGGUCU